Unclassified non-coding RNA from Homo sapiens (human), 296 nucleotides. NCBI's taxonomy places the organism in Eukaryota, Metazoa, Chordata, Mammalia, Primates, Hominidae. The record is from Ensembl.
GCUGGGCAUGGUGGCAUGUGCCUGUAGUCCCAGUUACUUGGGAGGCUGAAGCAGGAGGAACCCUUGAGCCCAAAAGUUCUGGGCUGUAGUGAGCUAUGCCAGUUGAGUGUCUGCACUAAGUUCAGCAUCAGUAUGGUAACCUCCUGUUAGCGGGGCCUACGGGGCUGGCAAAGGAGGGGUGAAUGGACCCAGGUCGGAAGCAGAGCAGGUCAUAACUCCGGUGCUGAUCAGUAGUUGGAUCGCCUGUGAAUAGCCACUGCACUCCAGCCUGGGCAACAUAGCAAGACCCUAUUGUU